Molecule: unclassified non-coding RNA, 411 nt
Filed under: soil metagenome
Description: partial contains 5.8S ribosomal RNA, internal transcribed spacer 2, and large subunit ribosomal RNA
Rfam family: 5.8S ribosomal RNA (bases 1-121)
Source: RNAcentral
GAUGAAGAACGUAGUGAAAUGCGAUAAGUAGUGUGAAUUGCAGAAGUACCGUGAAUCAUCGAAUCUUUGAACGCAAAUUGCACUCUCUGGUAUUCCGGGGAGUAUGCCUGUUUGAGGGUCGCUUAACAAACCAUCGAUUUCGUUGCUUUUUUUUUAAAGAGUGAUGUUUAUCGGAUUUGAGCCGUCUUUUUUUUUAUAUUUAAAAGUGGCUUAAAAUUGAUUUUUUUGGUACGAUCGAAGCGUAUUGUUAUGAUCAAUUUUUGGUUAAAGAAACGCACACGUACCGUUAUUUAUAUGAUGUAAUACGUUUGACUAUUGGAUUUAGUUCAUUCGUAUACGAUAUCUUUCAAUAUUUGACCUCAAAUCAGGUAAGAACACCCGCUGAACUUAAGCAUAUCAAUAAGCGGAGGA